Molecule: ribosomal RNA, 403 nt
Filed under: uncultured Candidatus Saccharibacteria bacterium
Lineage: Bacteria; Candidatus Saccharimonadota
Description: partial 16S ribosomal RNA
Rfam family: Bacterial small subunit ribosomal RNA
Source: RNAcentral
UAGGGAAUUUUCCACAAUGGACGAAAGUCUGAUGGAGCAACGCCGCGUGCAGGAUGAAGGCCUUCGGGUCGUAAACUGCUUUUAUUUGUGAAGAUUAUGACGGUAACAAAUGAAUAAGGGUCGGCUAACUACGUGCCAGCAGCCGCGGUCAUACGUAGGACCCAAGCGUUAUCCGGAAUUACUGGGCGUAAAGAGUUGCGUAGGUGGCUUGUUAAGCAAGGUAUGAAAUCGUGUGGCUCAACCAUACACACAUAUUUUGAACUGGCAGGCUUGAGUAUGAGAGAGGUAGAUGGAAUUCCCUGUGUAGGAGUGAAAUCCGUAGAUAUAGGGAGGAACACCGAUGGCGUAGGCAGUCUACUGGCUCAUUACUGACACUAAGGCACGAAAGCGUGGGGAGCAAACG